This 497-nucleotide ribosomal RNA is filed under the name uncultured bacterium. Its description in RNAcentral is "bacterial SSU rRNA". It matches the Rfam family "Bacterial small subunit ribosomal RNA", at positions 27 to 504 of the family's 1533-position model. The record is from RNAcentral.
GGACGAACGCUGGCGGCGUGCCUAAUACAUGCAAGUCGUGCGGACCUUUUAAAAGCUUGCUUUUAAAAGGUUAGCGGCGGACGGGUGAGUAACACGUGGGCAACCUGCCUGUAAGAUCGGGAUAACGCCGGGAAACCGGGGCUAAUACCGGAUAGUUUUUUCCUCCGCAUGGAGGAAAAAGGAAAGACGGCUUCGGCUGUCACUUACAGAUGGGCCCGCGGCGCAUUAGCUUGUUGGUGGGGUAACGGCCCACCAAGGCAACGAUGCGUAGCCGACCUGAGAGGGUGAUCGGCCACAUUGGGACUGAGACACGGCCCAAACUCCUACGGGAGGCAGCAGUAGGGAAUCUUCCGCAAUGGACGAAAGUCUGACGGAGCAACGCCGCGUGAGUGAAGAAGGCCUUCGGGUCGUAAAACUCUGUUGCCGGGGAAGAACAAGUGCCGUUCGAACAGGGCGGCGCCUUGACGGUACCCGGCCAGAAAGCCACGGCUAACUAC